This is a non-coding RNA of Enterobius vermicularis (human pinworm), 112 nucleotides long. The record is from Rfam. NCBI's taxonomy places the organism in Eukaryota, Metazoa, Nematoda, Chromadorea, Rhabditida, Oxyuridae.
AUAGGCUACGGCGAUAUGACUCCUCAUACAUACCUCGGUCGAAUUAUAGGUUCCAUGUGUGCUCUCGCAGGGGUUCUAACAAUUGCCCUGCCAGCACCGGUAAUUAACCAAA